Molecule: transfer RNA, 82 nt
Filed under: Apaloderma vittatum (bar-tailed trogon)
Lineage: Eukaryota; Metazoa; Chordata; Aves; Trogoniformes; Trogonidae
Rfam family: tRNA
About the family: Transfer RNA (tRNA) molecules are approximately 80 nucleotides in length. Their secondary structure includes four short double-helical elements and three loops (D, anti-codon, and T loops). Further hydrogen bonds mediate the characteristic L-shaped molecular structure. tRNAs have two regions of fundamental functional importance: the anti-codon, which is responsible for specific mRNA codon recognition, and the 3' end, to which the tRNAs corresponding amino acid is attached (by aminoacyl-tRNA synthetases). tRNAs cope with the degeneracy of the genetic code in two manners: having more than one tRNA (with a specific anti-codon) for a particular amino acid; and 'wobble' base-pairing, i.e. permitting non-standard base-pairing at the 3rd anti-codon position.
Source: Rfam by way of RNAcentral
GGCCGGUUAGCUCAGUGGUUUGAGCACGGAGCUGACAACAGUGACCGACACUGAGGUCGUGGGUUCGAUUCCCGCUCGGUCC